CAGACCUCUAAUCGGAAAAGACUACCCGCUGAGUUUAAGCAUAUCACUAAGCGGAGGAGAAGAAACUAAC
This 70-nucleotide ribosomal RNA is filed under the name Scorpidium cossonii. Its description in RNAcentral is "partial 25S ribosomal RNA". It matches the Rfam family "Eukaryotic large subunit ribosomal RNA", at positions 1 to 69 of the family's 3401-position model. The record is from RNAcentral. Lineage: Eukaryota; Viridiplantae; Streptophyta; Bryopsida; Hypnales; Amblystegiaceae.